UACGUAGGGGGCAAGCGUUGUCCGGAAUCAUUGGGCGUAAAGAGCGCGUAGGCGGUCCGGUAAGUCCGCUCUGAAAGUCCGGGGCUCAACCCCGGGAGGCGGGCGGAUACUGUCGGGCUAGAGUCCGGAAGAGGCGAGUGGAAUUCCUGGUGUAGCGGUGAAAUGCGCAGAUAUCAGGGGGAACACCAAUGGCGAAGGCGGCAUCCUGGACCGAAAUUGACGCUGAGGCGCGAAAGCCAGGGGAGCAAACGGG
RNAcentral lists this ribosomal RNA (253 nucleotides) under uncultured bacterium. Its description in RNAcentral is "partial 16S ribosomal RNA". It matches the Rfam family "Bacterial small subunit ribosomal RNA", at positions 524 to 776 of the family's 1533-position model. The record is from RNAcentral.